Molecule: ribosomal RNA, 433 nt
Filed under: uncultured bacterium
Lineage: Bacteria
Description: partial 16S ribosomal RNA
Rfam family: Bacterial small subunit ribosomal RNA
Source: RNAcentral
AACGAAGGGGGGCGGCAUGCCUAACACAUGCAAGUCGAACGAGACCUUCGGGUCUAGUGGCGCACGGGUGCGUAACGCGUGGGAACCUGCCCUUAGGUUCGGAAUAACUCCCCGAAAGGGGUGCUAAUACCGGAUAAUGUCUUCGGACCAAAGAUUUAUCGCCUUUGGAUGGGCCCGCGUUGGAUUAGCUAGUUGGUAGGGUAAAAGCCUACCAAGGCGACGAUCCAUAGCUGGUCUGAGAGGAUGAUCAGCCACACUGGGACUGAGACACGGCCCAGACUCCUACGGGAGGCAGCAGUGGGGAAUAUUGGACAAUGGGCGAAAGCCUGAUCCAGCAAUGCCGCGUGAGUGAUGAAGGCCUUAGGGUUGUAAAGCUCUUUUACCCGGGAUGAUAAUGACAGUACCGGGAGAAUAAGCUCCGGCUAACUCCGUG